This 487-nucleotide ribosomal RNA is filed under the name uncultured bacterium. RNAcentral describes it as "bacterial SSU rRNA". It matches the Rfam family "Bacterial small subunit ribosomal RNA", at positions 20 to 518 of the family's 1533-position model. The record is from RNAcentral.
GGCGUCAGGACGAACGCUGGCGGCGUAGCUUAACACGAUAGCAAGUCGAGCGAUGAAGCUCUUCGGAAGUGGAUUAGCGGCGGACGGGUGAGUAACACGUGGGUAACCUGCCUCAGUAGAGGGGAAUAGCCUUCCGAAAGGAAGAUUAAUACCGCAUAAGAUUGUAAUAUCGCAUGAUAUAGCAAUUAAAGGAGCAAUCCACGUAUGAGAUGGACCCGCGUCGCAUUAGCUAGUUGGUGAGGUAACGGCUCACCAAGGCGACGAUGCGUAGCCGACCUGAGAGGGUGAUCGGCCACAUUGGGACUGAGACACGGCCCAGACUCCUACGGGAGGCAGCAGUGGGGAAUAUUGCACAAUGGGGGAAACCCUGAUGCAGCAAACCGCCGCGUGAGUGAUGACGGUCUUCGGAUUGUAAAGCUCUGUCUUCAGGGACGAUAAUGACGGUACCUGAGGAGGAAGCCACGGCUAACUACGUGCCAGCAGCUGC